This is a ribosomal RNA of Gossypium arboreum, 3379 nucleotides long. It matches the Rfam family "Eukaryotic large subunit ribosomal RNA". The record is from Rfam. NCBI's taxonomy places the organism in Eukaryota, Viridiplantae, Streptophyta, Magnoliopsida, Malvales, Malvaceae.
CGACCUCAGGUUAGCGGGAUUACCCACUGAAUUUAAGCAUAUCAAUAAGUGGAGGAAAAGAAACUUACAAAGAUUCCCCUAGUAACAAUGAGUGAACUAAGAAAAGCCUAGCUUGAGAAUUGGGCACCCGAAUUUUAGUCUAGAGAAGCGUCUUCUGUGGCAGAUCGGGCCUAAAUCCCCUAAAAAUAGGUACCAAAGAGGGUGAGAGCCCCGUCAUGCCCAGACCCUAUCGCACCAGAAGGUGCUAUCUACUAGUUGAGUUGUUUGGGAAUGCAGCCCUAAUCGGGCGGUAAAUUCUGUCCAAGGCUAAAUAUAGGCAAGAAACCAAUAGCGAACAAGUACAGUGAGGGAAAGAUGAAAAUAAAUUUGAAAGAAAAGUCAAAGAAUGCUUGAAAUUGUCAAGAGGGAAGGGGACAGAGGCCGAUGAUGUGCCCUGAUUGGACGUGGAAUGGAAAAAGCCAAUCAGCCGAUCGGCUCGAGGCGUGGACCAAUGAAGGUUGUGGCAGUGGCUCAAACUUGGGCCUUUGAUAUACUUGUGGAGACGUCGUCGCCCCGAUCGUGGGAUCUGACAUGCCUAGUCUCGAUGUGCUUCGACAUUUGUGUGCUCCUGACGUCGACCUACGGACUCCUUAUUCGGCCCUUCUUGAAACAUGGACCAAGGAGUCUAACAUGUGUAAAAGUCAAUGGCCUAGAAAACUCGUAAGGCGAAAGAAAGAUAAUUGGAAGGAUCCCUCGCGAGUUCACCACUGAUUGACCUUGAUCUUUUGAGAAGGGUUUGAGUGAGAGCAUGUCUGUCAGGACCCGAAAGAUGGUAAACUAUGCCUGAGUAGGGAAAAGCCAGAGGAAACUCUAGUGGAGGCCCACAGCGAUACUGACGUGUAAAACAUUCGUCUGACUUGGGUAUAAGGAUAAAAGACUAAUCAAACCAUCUAAUAAUUUGUUCCUUCUGAAAUUUCCUUUAAGAUAGCUAGAGGCCUUUGCAAGUUCUAUCGGGUAAAGCCAACGAUUAAAGGAAUCAGGGGCACAACGCCCUCGACCUAUUCUCAAACUUUAAAUUGGUAGGAUGGCGCGGCUGCUUCAUUGAGCCACGCCACAAAAUUGAGAGCUCCAAGUGGGGAAUUUUUGGUAAGUAGAAUUGGUAAUGUGGGAUGAACCGAAAGUCGGGUUAUGGUGCCCAACUGCGCACUAACCUAAAACUUACAAAGGGUAUUGGUCGAUUAAGAUAAUAAGAUGGUUGUCCUAAAAGUCAAAAUCACUAAGGAGUGUGUAACAACUCACCAGUCGAAUCAAUUAGCCCCAAAGAUGGUUGGAACUUAAUAGCAUGACCUUUACCCAGUCGUCGGGGCAAGGGCCAGGGACCGAUGAGUAGUAGGCCACGACAGUCGUCAUAAAACUUAAGGCACAAGCCAAGGCGGUGUGACCGUUAGUGCAGAUCUUGGUGGUAAUAGCAAAUAUUCAAAUGAGAACUCUGAAGGCCGAAGAGGGGAAGGUUUCCAUCUGAAUGGUACUUACACAUGGGUUAGUCGAUCUUAAGAGACGAGGGAAGCUUGUCUAAUAGCGCGUCUAGUGCGAGCUUCGACCGAGAAUCGGGUUAAAGUUUCUGAACUGGGACGCGGUGGCUGAUGGCAAUGUUAGGGAGUCUGGAGACAUCGAUGGGGGCCUCAGGAAGAGUCCUCCUUUCUGUUUAACAGCCUACCCAUCCAGGAAACAGCUUAGCCGAAGGUAGGGUCUAGUGGCCGGAAGAGCACUGCACGUUGCCUGGUCUCUGGUGCGCUUUCGGCGGCCAAUGAAAAUGUAGAGGAUCGAGUGCCUCUUAUGCCUGGUUAUAGUCAUAACCGCAUCAGGUCUCUAGGGUGAACAACCUCUAGUCAAUGGAAUAAUGUAGGCAAGGGAAGUAUGCAAAAUGUAUCCGUAACCUUAAGAAAAGGACUUGAUCUGAGAGGUGAGCAUAGGGGUCCCAAUCCCAGUCCCAAACCCACCAGCUGCGGGUGCACUGGUUGAGCUACUCUCACAAUAAGAGUGGGUCACCGCAUGCUGGCUGGGGCACAGGCUGGGAACAACUCCCUCCAAGGCCAUCCUUAGGCGAUGAAUAGUCGACUCAGAAUUGGUACAAACUAGAGGAAUUCGACUGUUUAAUUAAAAAAAACAUUGUAAUAGUCCUUGCAGAUGCUCAUGAAAUGUGAUUUCUACCAGUGCUCUGAAUGCCAAAGUGAAGAAAUUCAGCCAGGCGCAGGUAAAUAGCAAGAGUAACUAUAGCUCUCUUAAGGUAGCUAAAUGCCUCAUCAUCUAAUUAAUGACACACAUGAAUGGAUUAACAAGAUUCUCAUUGUCCCUAUCUACUAUCCAAUGAUACCACAACCAAGGGAACGGGCUAGGCAGAAUCAACAGGGAAAGAAGACCCUGUUGAGCUUGACUCUGGUCCGACUUUGUGAAAUGACUUGAGAGGUGUAGGAUAACUGGGAUAUCUCAGGUGAAAUUAAAAUACCAUUACUUUUAACGUUAUUUUAUUUAUUCCAUGAAUCAGAGGUGGGGCAUGACCCCUCUUUUUAGACCAAAGGCUGACUUCGGCCUCCCAAUCCAGGUGGAAGACAUUGUCAGGUAGGGAGUUUGGUUGGAGCGGCACAUCUGUUUAAAGAUAACGCAGGUGUCCUCAGAUGAGCUCAACGAGAAUAGAAAUCUUGUGUGGAAAAAAAAGGUAAAAACUUGUUUGAUUCUAAUUUCCAGUAUGAAUACGAAUCGUGAAAGCGUGGCCUAUCAAUCCUUUAGGCCUUUAGAAUUUGAAGCUAGAGAUGUCAGAAAAGUUACCACAUAGAUAACUACAUUGUGGUAGCUAAGCGUUCAUAGUGAUAUUGCUUUUUGAUCCUUUAAUGUCAGCUCCUCCUAUCAUUGUAAAACAUAAUUCAGUAAAGGUUGGAUUGUUUACCCACCAAUAGGGAAUGUCAGCUGGGUUUAGACAAUCAUGAGGCAGGUUAAUUUUACCUUGCUAAUGACAGCGUCGCAAUAGUAGUUCAACCUAGUACGAGGAACCGUUGAUUCGCACAAUUGGUCAUUACGCUUGGUUGAAAAGCCAGUGGCGAGAAGCUACCGAGCAUUGGAUUAUGACUGAAUGCCUUAAGUCAGAAUCUAGGCUAGAUGUGAUGCACACGCCGGUCACCCGAUUGCUUACCCAUAGUAGGGGCCUCUAGCCCCUAAUGGCAUACGUCGUAGGAGUAGUGACUGCAGCAAAGAAGUCAUAGAUGCCUCAUUGGAGUGUAAUUCCCACUGAGCAGUUGGUAGAAUCCUUUGCAAUGACUUAAAUAUGCGACUGGAUAUUGUAAGUGACAGAGUGGCAUUACUGCCACGAUCCAUUGAGAUUCAGUCCUUUGUCACUUCGAUUUGU